This 410-nucleotide ribosomal RNA is filed under the name uncultured microorganism. RNAcentral describes it as "bacterial SSU rRNA". It matches the Rfam family "Bacterial small subunit ribosomal RNA", at positions 509 to 917 of the family's 1533-position model. The record is from RNAcentral.
CAGCAGCCGCGGUAAUACGUAGGGUGCGAGCGUUAAUCGGAUUUACUCGGCGUAAAGCGUGCGCAGGCGGCCCGUUAAGACAGGUGUGAAAUCCCUGGGCUCAACCUAGGAAUUGCGCUUGUGACUGGCAGGCUCGAGUACGGUAGAGGGGGGUGGAAUUCCUGGUGUAGCAGUGAAAUGCGUAGAGAUCAGGAGGAACACCGGUGGCGAAGGCAGCCCCCUGGGCCUGUACUGACGCUCAUGCACGAAAGCGUGGGGAGCAAACAGGAUUAGAUACCCUGGUAGUCCACGCCCUAAACGAUGGGUACUAGCCGUUUGGUGCGCGAUAGCGCUGAGUGGCGAAGCUAACGCGUGAAGUACCCCGCCUGGGGAGUACGGCCGCAAGGUUGAAACUUAAAGGAAUUGGCGGG